CCUUCACCAGGAUAAACAGCUGAGGAAGUCCUGCGGCUCACUCGAGCUCAGUGCCAUUGGUGCCUCUUCCAGAGGGCUCAGCUUUAAAGGAAUUUGCUCGGGGGAAGACGACAGCUGCUGCUCUGAUGAAGGAUUUUUCUGAGCAGGCCUUCCAAGCAAGACAUGUCAGCAUGAGAUGCUGCCUACACUUUUCAUCGUGA
Molecule: long non-coding RNA, 200 nt
Filed under: Anser brachyrhynchus (Pink-footed goose)
Lineage: Eukaryota; Metazoa; Chordata; Aves; Anseriformes; Anatidae
Description: lncRNA (ENSABRG00000012257.1)
Source: RNAcentral